UCCCCUACGGGACGCAGCAGUGAGGAAUAUUGGUCAAUGGCCGAGAGGCUGAACCAGCCAAGUCGCGUGAGGGAUGACGGCCCUACGGGUUGUAAACCUCUUUUGUCGGGGAGCAAGACCCGCCACGAGUGGCGGAGCGAGAGUACCCGAAGAAAAAGCAUCGGCUAACUCCGUGCCAGCAGCCGCGGUAAAACGUAGGUGGCAAGCGUUAUCCGGAUUUAUUGGGCGUAAAGCGAGUGCAGGCGG
This 246-nucleotide ribosomal RNA is filed under the name uncultured bacterium. RNAcentral's name for it is "partial 16S ribosomal RNA". It matches the Rfam family "Bacterial small subunit ribosomal RNA", at positions 335 to 578 of the family's 1533-position model. The record is from RNAcentral.